CCGGGCGUAGCUCAGCGGCAGAGCGGCCGGCUGUAGUUGUAUAGCAGAUACCGGCAGGUCGGGGGUUCGAAUCCCCCCGCCCGGA
RNAcentral lists this transfer RNA (85 nucleotides) under Nanoarchaeum equitans Kin4-M. It matches the Rfam family "tRNA". Rfam says of the family: Transfer RNA (tRNA) molecules are approximately 80 nucleotides in length. Their secondary structure includes four short double-helical elements and three loops (D, anti-codon, and T loops). The record is from Rfam by way of RNAcentral. Lineage: Archaea; Nanobdellati; Nanobdellota; Candidatus Nanoarchaeia; Nanoarchaeales; Nanoarchaeaceae.